AUGAACGCUGGCGGCGUGCCUAAUACCUGCCAGUCGAGCGCACAGAUGAGGAGCUUGCUCCUCUGACGUUAGCGGCGGACGGGUGAGUAACACGUGGAUAACCUACCUAUAAGACUGGGAUAACUUCGGGAAACCGGAGCUAAUACCGGAUAAUAUAUUGAACCGCAUGGUUCAAUAGUGAAAGACGGUUUUGCUGUCACUUAUAGAUGGAUCCGCGCCGCAUUAGCUAGUUGGUAAGGUAACGGCUUACCAAGGCAACGAUGCGUAGCCGACCUGAGAGGGUAAUCGGCCACACUGGAACUGAGACACGGUCCAGACUCCUACGGGAGGCAGCAGUAGGGAAUCUUCCGCAAUGGGCGAAAGCCUGACGGAGCAACGCCGCGUGAGUGAUGAAGGUCUUCGGAUCGUAAAACUCUGUUAUUAGGGAAGAACAAAUGUGUAAGUAACUAUGCACGUCUUGACGGUACCUAAUCAGAAAGCCACGGCUAACUACGUG
This 496-nucleotide ribosomal RNA is filed under the name uncultured bacterium. RNAcentral's name for it is "partial 16S ribosomal RNA". It matches the Rfam family "Bacterial small subunit ribosomal RNA", at positions 29 to 507 of the family's 1533-position model. The record is from RNAcentral.